Gymnogyps californianus (California condor) is the source of this 325-nucleotide long non-coding RNA. RefSeq lists it as uncharacterized. NCBI's taxonomy places the organism in Eukaryota, Metazoa, Chordata, Aves, Accipitriformes, Cathartidae. The record is from RefSeq and is a predicted model, not a curated record. The transcript is spliced from 3 exons.
AAUGCCUGUCCUUCUGCAGCACAGGGGCAACACCAGGGAAACAAAUACCUGCUGGCAAGGUUGAAGAACCCAAAACGAAACCUAUUCCCCAGCUCUGGAAUCCCCACUAUUGUUAGAAGAUGAUUCUGCAUAAGAACACAGCUUGUUCAUCUGAUUUGCACAGAAGGGGGAAGAAGUUUUUAUGGAAAAGAUAAACUGCAGACUCAACUCUUUGUGUGGAUAUGUGUGUGUAUGUUAUUAAAGCCUGCUGAAAGGCUAUUUAUGGAUUUUAGUGAGAAGGCAUUGUUUUCAUUUUUAUGGAGCUAAUGAAAUCUGGGGUUUUGUU